GUUGAUCCUCUUGCAGAUACUCUGUAAUGCUUACUUUAAACAGACUUUGAAUUGUUGAUAGGAUGACUUAGUUUUGAUACAUCUCUGACCCAAGGAACAGCAAAAACAACUUUAGGCAUACUCGGUGUUCUUGUAAGUGGAUAUGUUGUGAACACAUGAAAUAACCUUCUUUUUGGAGACCAUUAUUUUAAAAUUGUGUUCUUGCUUGUGUUGUAUUCAUCCUUGAUUUGUUUUCUAUGGUUGAUUUGAUUCAUGCAAAUGUAUUUAUUAAUAUGAAGGACAC
RNAcentral lists this long non-coding RNA (283 nucleotides) under Bos taurus (domestic cattle). Its description in RNAcentral is "long non-coding RNA NONBTAT024742". The record is from RNAcentral. Lineage: Eukaryota; Metazoa; Chordata; Mammalia; Artiodactyla; Bovidae.